This 374-nucleotide unclassified non-coding RNA is filed under the name soil metagenome. RNAcentral describes it as "partial contains 5.8S ribosomal RNA, internal transcribed spacer 2, and large subunit ribosomal RNA". The stretch from base 1 to 120 matches the Rfam family "5.8S ribosomal RNA", at positions 35 to 154 of the family's 154-position model. The record is from RNAcentral.
GAUGAAGAACGUAGCGAAAUGCGAUAAGUAAUGUGAAUUGCAGAAUUCAGUGAAUCAUCGAAUCUUUGAACGCAUCUUGCGCUCCUUGGUAUUCCGAGGAGCAUGCCUGUUUGAGUGUCAUUUGACUUCUCUCAACCGCAUCAGUCUGAUGUGGCUUGGAUAUUGGGGGUUUUAUUUGCAGGCUUGGUUUCUUUUUGUCUGCUCCCCUGAAAUACAUUAGUGGUGUCUUUUUUUGAGCUGCUGCUAUAGGUGUAAUAAAUAUCUAUGCCUUGUGCAGGUUGGCUUGCGCUGCUUCUAAAAACAAACUUGACAAAUUUGACCUCAAAUCAGGUAGGACUACCCGCUGAACUUAAGCAUAUCCAAUAAGCGGAGGA